This 484-nucleotide ribosomal RNA is filed under the name uncultured bacterium. RNAcentral's name for it is "partial 16S ribosomal RNA". It matches the Rfam family "Bacterial small subunit ribosomal RNA", at positions 29 to 507 of the family's 1533-position model. The record is from RNAcentral.
AUUGAACGCUGGCGGCAUGCUUUACACAUGCAAGUCGAACGGCAGCGCGGGCUUCGGCCUGGCGGCGAGUGGCGAACGGGUGAGUAAUGCAUCGGAACGUGCCCAGUAGUGGGGGAUAGCCCGGCGAAAGCCGGAUUAAUACCGCAUACGACCUGAGGGUGAAAGCGGGGGACCGAAAGGCCUCGCGCUAUUGGAGCGGCCGAUGUCGGAUUAGCUAGUUGGUGGGGUAAAGGCUUAACAAGGCGACGAUCCGUAGCUGGUCUGAGAGGACGACCAGCCACACUGGGACUGAGACACGGCCCAGACUCCUACGGGAGGCAGCAGUGGGGAAUUUUGGACAAUGGGGGCAACCCUGAUCCAGCCAUGCCGCGUGCGGGAAGAAGGCCUUCGGGUUGUAAACCGCUUUUGUUCGGGAAGAAAUCCUCUGGGCUAAUACCCCGGGGGGAUGACGGUACCGGAAGAAUAAGCACCGGCUAACUACGUG